UUUGUGCACGCCCUGGUGCUCUCUCACAAUCCAUCUCACCCCCUUUGUGCAUCACCGCGUGGGUGCUCUCCUUUUGGUUUGUUCCGAAAGGGGGCAUUUGCGUUUUUAUACAAAACCACUGCAUGUGUAGAAUGUCUUACUAUUUGCGAUAAUGCGCAAUUAAUACAACUUUCAACAACGGAUCUCUUGGCUCUCGCAUCGAUGAAGAACGCAGCGAAAUGCGAUACGUAAUGUGAAUUGCAGAAUUCAGUGAAUCAUCGAAUCUUUGAACGCACCUUGCGCCCCUUGGAAUUCCGAGGGGCACACCCGUUUGAGUGUCGUGAACAUCCUUCAACCUUUCUUGGUUUCUUGACCGAGGAAGGCUUGGACUUUGGGGGUCCUUCAUUGCUGGCCUCUUUGAAGCCAGCUCCUCCUAAAUGGAUUAGUGUGGUCUGCUUUGCCGAUCCUUGACGUGAUAAGAUGUUUCUACGUCUUGGGUUUUGCACUGUCGCUUUAGACCCCGCUUCUAACUGUCUCGUCUUGCAUUCAAGACAGAGUUUUUAAACCUUGACCUCAAAUCGGGUGAGACUACCCGCUGAACUUAAGCAUAUCAAUAAGCGGAGGAAAAGAAACUAACAAGGAUUCCCCUAGUAACUGCGAGUGAAGCGGGAUGAGCUCAAAUUUUGAAUCUGGCGGUCUUUGGCUGUCCGAGUUGUAAUCUAGAGA
RNAcentral lists this ribosomal RNA (705 nucleotides) under uncultured fungus. RNAcentral describes it as "eukaryotic LSU rRNA". The stretch from base 167 to 320 matches the Rfam family "5.8S ribosomal RNA". Lineage: Eukaryota; Fungi. The record is from RNAcentral.